This 253-nucleotide ribosomal RNA is filed under the name uncultured bacterium. RNAcentral describes it as "partial 16S ribosomal RNA". It matches the Rfam family "Bacterial small subunit ribosomal RNA", at positions 524 to 776 of the family's 1533-position model. The record is from RNAcentral.
GACGUAGGGCGCGAGCGUUGUCCGGAUUUAUUGGGCGUAAAGAGCUCGUAGGCGGCUUGUCGCGUCGACCGUGAAAACUUGGGGCUCAACCCUAAGCCUGCGGUCGAUACGGGCAGGCUCGAGUUCGGUAGGGGAGACUGGAAUUCCUGGUGUAGCGGUGAAAUGCGCAGAUAUCAGGAGGAACACCGGUGGCGAAGGCGGUUAGCUGGGCAGUUGCUGACACUGAGGAGCGAAAGCGUGGGGAGCGAACAGG